This 212-nucleotide long non-coding RNA is filed under the name Elaeis guineensis (African oil palm). Its description in RNAcentral is "long non-coding RNA (EGUI_LNC031624)". The record is from RNAcentral. Lineage: Eukaryota; Viridiplantae; Streptophyta; Magnoliopsida; Arecales; Arecaceae.
UUGUUUAACUUGAUUUUAAUUAACACCACAUAUUAACUAAUUCUUCACAUCUAUCUCUUAGAUCUAGGAUUCUUUAGGUUCUUAUAUUUAGAAUUCUCUCCCCUCAUACUUCUUCUCAUUCUUCAAAAAAAAAACAAAAAGGAUUGCUCUGAUCUAGAAUCCUUGAUUUCAUAUUUGAAUAAUCAGAACAAUCCGAGAUAGAUCUUGAUAGU